GUUGAAAUACCGGUUUCCAUACGAUCCCCGAAGUUAAGAAACGUCGAGCCUGGUCAGUACCUAGAUCGGUGACCGCUUGGGAAUACCGG
Molecule: non-coding RNA, 89 nt
Organism: Acanthosepion pharaonis
Lineage: Eukaryota; Metazoa; Mollusca; Cephalopoda; Sepiida; Sepiidae
Source: the annotation of a GenBank genome assembly